Molecule: long non-coding RNA, 263 nt
Organism: Bubalus bubalis (water buffalo)
Lineage: Eukaryota; Metazoa; Chordata; Mammalia; Artiodactyla; Bovidae
Exons: 3
Source: RefSeq, a predicted model, not a curated record
AAAGGCCACAUUUGCUCAGAGAAAGAUGAGAUCACCACCUGCGUGAGUUUCAGGGAUGGCCAGAGAAUGGCCUCUUCAGAUGACUUGGGUCCACCCUCAGGAGGUGACAGAUUGUCUGAAAAGAAGCGAAGCAAGUUUCCUACAAUGAAAAGAACUACCCUAUGGAGCCCAUACUUCUGCUUGAGGCAAAUGUGUUUAAAACGUCAUUCAGUCAUGUCUGACUCUUUGCGACCCCAUGGACUGCAACACAUCAGGCCUUCCUG